AGUGUGCCCACGUCCUUCCCCUAAUUGCUUGGUGGUUGGUGGGCAGCUGCCUAGUUCCUAUUGGGUGAGUCUGAAACCUUUGCUUUUCCCCUUGGUUUGCAAUCAGGUGAGCGCAGCUCCUCUGGACUGCUGGAGUGGGAAUCCAAGAGCGAUGCCCUGGAGACUCUGGGCUUCCUGAACCAUUACCAGAUGAAAAACCCAAAUGGUCCAUACCCUUACACUCUGAAGUUGUGUUUCUCCACUGCUCAGCACGCCUCCUAAUUAGGUGCCUAGGAAGAGUCCCAUCUGAGCAGGAAGACAUUUCUCUUUCCUUUAUGCCAUUUUUUGUUUUUGUUAUUUGCAAAAGAUCUUGUAUUCCUUUUUUUUUUUUUUUUUUUUAAAUGCUAGGUUUGUAGAGGCUUAACCUUAAUGGAAACGCUGGAAGUCUGCAGGGGGAGGGAGAGGGGAACUGGUAUCUCCCAAGAUUAACCUUCACUUUUAAAAAAUUAUUGUACAUGUGAUUUUUUUUUUCCUGUUCAUACAUUUGUGCUGCCCAUGUACUCUUGGCACAUUUCAAUAAAAUUGUUUGGAAAAUAAA
RNAcentral lists this small RNA (577 nucleotides) under Pan troglodytes (chimpanzee). RNAcentral describes it as "retained intron". Lineage: Eukaryota; Metazoa; Chordata; Mammalia; Primates; Hominidae. The record is from RNAcentral.